RNAcentral lists this small nucleolar RNA (87 nucleotides) under Cyphellophora europaea CBS 101466. Lineage: Eukaryota; Fungi; Ascomycota; Eurotiomycetes; Chaetothyriales; Cyphellophoraceae. The record is from RNAcentral.
CUUUUAUGAUGAUCAAACCUUUUCAAUAUCAGUUCUGCUUCUGAUACCCCUUGAAGAUAACCCUACCAAGCUUACCAUAUCUGACUU